This 548-nucleotide ribosomal RNA is filed under the name uncultured bacterium. RNAcentral describes it as "bacterial SSU rRNA". It matches the Rfam family "Bacterial small subunit ribosomal RNA", at positions 355 to 896 of the family's 1533-position model. The record is from RNAcentral.
UAGGGAAUCUUCCGCAAUGGGCGAAAGCCUGACGGAGCAACGCCGCGUGAGUGAAGAAGGAUUUCGGUUCGUAAAGCUCUGUUGUUAGGGAAGAAUGAUUGUGUAGUAACUAUACACAGUAGAGACGGUACCUAACCAGAAAGCCACGGCUAACUACGUGCCAGCAGCCGCGGUAAUACGUAGGUGGCAAGCGUUGUCCGGAAUUAUUGGGCGUAAAGCGCGCGCAGGUGGUUUAAUAAGUCUGAUGUGAAAGCCCACGGCUCAACCGUGGAGGGUCAUUGGAAACUGUUAAACUUGAGUGCAGGAGAGAAAAGUGGAAUUCCUAGUGUAGCGGUGAAAUGCGUAGAGAUUAGGAGGAACACCAGUGGCGAAGGCGGCUUUUUGGCCUGUAACUGACACUGAGGCGCGAAAGCGUGGGGAGCAAACAGGAUUAGAUACCCUGGUAGUCCACGCCGUAAACGAUGAGUGCUAAGUGUUGGUCUCAUAAGAGAUCAGUGCUGCAGCUAACGCAUUAAGCACUCCGCCUGGGGGGUACGACCGCAAGGUUG